Molecule: long non-coding RNA, 1059 nt
Filed under: Oryctolagus cuniculus (rabbit)
Lineage: Eukaryota; Metazoa; Chordata; Mammalia; Lagomorpha; Leporidae
Description: lncRNA (ENSOCUG00000030228.1)
Source: RNAcentral
AUGGUAGGAUCUGAUCCAAACAGGGCCAAAAGUCAAGAGACAGGAAACAGAUUCAGUUCUGUACUCAGAGGUAGCCUGUCCUGGCAGACUGGGAAGAAAACACCGCCCUGGGCAGGGGUCGGGUGGGGGCUGCCAGAGACUCUCUGGGACCCCAGCUGUGGGCCUCUCAGGUUGCCCCCUCGGGGCCGCCUGGAAGAAAGCUCAUCAGAAAUGCAGACGUUCAGUCUUCACCUCAGACCCCCGAAUCAGCGCCCACAUCUAACAAGAUGCCCGGGGCCUCUGGAGCUGGUUAGAUUUGCAGACAGGUGCUGGGGAGUUCUGUCUUCCUUGUCAUCCCCCACCUGCCCCCUGCUCCCCACCAUGGAGGUAAGGCCACAUCUCCCCCCACCCCCAGCCUCUCACUUUCCUUCUCUGGAAGUGGGGAAGACACAGAGUAGAGACACAUGGGGACAGACAGCUCGCAGGGCCCCGGGAGCUCUACAACAGCCUCUCCCACCCACGGUCCGCGUCCCACAGGUGAGUCCACCUGUCUGUGUCUCGGGUCCCACAUCUGCAGAGCCGGGGGACAACCUCACCUCCCAGUCUGGGCUUGCUCCUUACCUGCUCCCUCUUUCAUUGUCUCUUUCCAGUUCUUUCUCUACUUUCAAUCAGUUCAGCAAAUGCUCGCUGUCCAAGGCUGGGCAAGGUAAGUGUCCACCUCCCUGGUAUCUGCUGUCUGGUCUCUCUGGAAGUCUUCCCCAGCCCUCCUGGUGCUUACACACACCCCCAACCCCCCGGCACAGGCCCCCACGCCUCUCCUGGAGCCACAGCAAUCUGGGCCUCAGUCAACACCAAGAAUUAGACUCUUUGGCUCUGCUGGCCUCUAACCCCCCGCCCCUUGUCUGCUCUCUCUCCCAUUCUUCCCUAGCCAAGGCCCCUCCAGGAGCCCAUCCUGGCUGCUCGCCUUUUCCUACACAUGAGGGUAACUUCAGAACUCCCUGCUCCCCCCGCCCCAGGGAUACCCCCAACCUGGGGGCACCGUCCCCGACAGGCCAGACCCCAGAGGCACACUGUGCCUAA